Molecule: ribosomal RNA, 492 nt
Filed under: uncultured bacterium
Lineage: Bacteria
Description: partial 16S ribosomal RNA
Rfam family: Bacterial small subunit ribosomal RNA
Source: RNAcentral
AGCGAACGCUGGCGGUAGGCCUAACACAUGCAAGUCGAACGGCAGCACAGUAAGAGCUUGCUCUUACGGGUGGCGAGUGGCGGACGGGUGAGGAAUACAUCGGAAUCUACUUUUUCGUGGGGGAUAACGUAGGGAAACUUACGCUAAUACCGCAUACGACCUACGGGUGAAAGCAGGGGAUCUUCGGACCUUGCGCGAUUGAAUGAGCCGAUGCCGGAUUAGCUAGUUGGCGGGGUAAAGGCCCACCAAGGCGACGAUCCGUAGCUGGUCUGAGAGGAUGAUCAGCCACACUGGAACUGAGACACGGUCCAGACUCCUACGGGAGGCAGCAGUGGGGAAUAUUGGACAAUGGGCGCAAGCCUGAUCCAGCCAUACCGCGUGGGUGAAGAAGGCCUUCGGGUUGUAAAGCCCUUUUGUUGGGAAAGAAAAGCAGCAGGUUAAUACCCCGCUGUUCUGACGGUACCCAAAGAAUAAGCACCGGCUAACUUCGUG